UACGUAGGUGGCAAGCGUUGUCCGGAUUUACUGGGCGUAAAGGGCGUGCAGGCGGUCUGUUAAGUGCAGGGUGGAAGCUCCCGGCUCAACUGGGAGAGGUCCUUGCAUACUGGCGGACUUGAGGGGGGUAGAGGAAAGUGGAAUUCCCGGUGUAGUGGUGAUAUGCGUAGAUAUCGGGAGGAACACCUGUGGCGAAGGCGGCUUUCUGGGCCCUACCUGACGCUGAGACGCGAAAGCGUGGGGAGCGAACCGG
This 253-nucleotide ribosomal RNA is filed under the name uncultured bacterium. RNAcentral's name for it is "partial 16S ribosomal RNA". It matches the Rfam family "Bacterial small subunit ribosomal RNA", at positions 524 to 776 of the family's 1533-position model. The record is from RNAcentral.